AAAAAGGAAUUUGGCCGAAAGGGUAGACGUGGAAUAAUAGUUGACGUGGCAGGAGAUAGGCGAGGUCGGCGCGAGUUUGCCGUGCGCGAGAACGUGUAAGCAAGCGGUGGAGGUAUGGCGUGCCACAUCGGACUUGCUAUAACUACCAACUUACAAUCGCAAAUCCUGAUUUAAUUACCGGGAGAGAAGAAGAAGGGCUACUUUUCCGCCUCAAAAAUCCUCGGGUGCUGCCUCUCUCGCCAUUCAGUUCAAGGUCAGGGCGGAAGGUGCAGCAGGCGAUGACAUCUUUAAAGCCCGCCCGGGGGGGUUAUGCUUAUUCCUGUCCACAUAAAAUUAGCUGUCCACAAAAAAGACAUCCAGGUCGCACUUGGUUUGCAGCGAGUCAUUCUUCUCGCAAAUCCAAACUCAAAAGUAUUUUGUACAGGAAAAACCUUCUAACUCCCGGUCCGCCAUUUAUGGACCUCAUUAGCUCAAUCAACAAGUCCCCAAGAUCAUCUCUGUUUCAUCAUAUCGGCGAUCUUGAUUCGAUCUCCCAAUCACACCAGACAAACAGUUACCACGUUCACCCUCUACUCAAGCAAGAUCAGGCUAUGGAGGAGGAGGAGGAGGAAGAAUAUAUUAAUUCUCAAAAACUUGAUCAAUGGGUCAGAGAUUCUGCAGUUGAGGUGACUACAUAAUUUCUAUUGUUCAUAAUCUUGAUGAAGCCCCUUUUCUUGUCCACAUCUACUGUAAUGGCAACGGUACUAAUGGAGACGGAUCUACACCAAAGAUGAGGAUUAAAACGGUUAAAGAAAAGGCUAUAGCAGAUAACUGGCCCAUGAUUCAAGAAAAAUGGAGAGGAGGACGCGGCAUCCCAAAUGGUGUUAUCUUAGUGGAAGAACUUACGACUCCAUUAGGUGAACCAGAAACCUCCGAAGAAAUUGUAGAAAAAUUGGAUUUGAAUAAUCAACCAUGCUCUUCAACAAAAUUGUGGGGGAUACUCAUCCAAGGAAAAGGAAAAAGCUGUACAGCCUGUUACCUUCUUAAGACUAGUCAGGUUCAGUGUGUCGCGGGAUUAUGCACGCAUUUUUGUUUGUUGAGGGUUGAGUGUUUAGUAGAACAUGCAGAUAUUCAACUUAAGAAGGCCUGGCUGCAAAUGGGUUAAUUUCCUUCAGUAGGACCACUUUGUGGACUCUAUGUUGUAUAGAUGGUCAACAAAAUACAUCUCGAAUUGCAUAUGGAUUUUCAUCCACAAUUUUAAGGGCCUGAGAGCGAGCGAUAUUAUUGGUCA
Sesamum indicum (sesame) is the source of this 1270-nucleotide long non-coding RNA. RefSeq lists it as uncharacterized. Lineage: Eukaryota; Viridiplantae; Streptophyta; Magnoliopsida; Lamiales; Pedaliaceae. The record is from RefSeq and is a predicted model, not a curated record.